This 226-nucleotide long non-coding RNA is filed under the name Amborella trichopoda. Its description in RNAcentral is "long non-coding RNA (ATRI_LNC003572)". Lineage: Eukaryota; Viridiplantae; Streptophyta; Magnoliopsida; Amborellales; Amborellaceae. The record is from RNAcentral.
UUCUAUCAUCUUUCUAUCUCUUUUAUUUGCCUAUUUAGUGUACACAUUUAGGAUUCUAGAGUCUAUAAAAAACCUCUAUUGAUUUCCUAAAUUCUUUGCAAUGAUCCUCAUAUAGUUUUUAUGAAAGUCUAGCUGGAAUGGCUGGUAAUUGAAGAGAAAGAGGUCUUAUAAGCCGAUGUUCCAUGGUUUAUAAUUUGACGAAACCCCCAUCUCUUCUGACCAUGAU